This is a long non-coding RNA of Heterocephalus glaber (naked mole-rat), 1195 nucleotides long. NCBI's taxonomy places the organism in Eukaryota, Metazoa, Chordata, Mammalia, Rodentia, Bathyergidae. The record is from Ensembl.
UUAAAACCCAGAAGAUACAAAGAAAAACUAGUCAUUGUUACUAAAUAAAAAGUGAAACCUUCUGCUAGGCUGAGCCCUAAGAACCAAGUCAGAAAAAAUCCUACAAACCAGGGAGAAAUACGACAAAGCCUGGUUUGGUUUUGGUUUUUUACUGCCACAGGCUGGGUUUUCUGGAAGGCAGAUGCUAGGGAGUGUGGAGCGCAGGAAGCCCUGGGGCUAUGAUGUGAGUGCCAGCCCGUGAGCUCCCCAGGAACCCGCUCUGUGCCCCGGGCCCACACCCUGGACUGCUAAGGGAAGCGGUCUCAGCUGCUUUCUCUCCUCCCUCCCUUAGGGGACUGCCCCAGCGCUGGGGAAAGCACUGUGGUGCACUGUGGGUUGGGAGCUCAGCCGCCUCCCUCUUGGGUAGAGCAGCCAGCUCUUCCUCCUUCAUGCUCAGUCAUGGACUGGGGACCUGAGGAGACUGGCCCAGGCUGCAAAAUUACUGAAAGAAAAGAUGUCUACAGUAUACUGUUAAUAAAGUUCUAAAGUUCUGUGUCUGAAGAAGGAAACCAACUCAAGAGUUGUCUGGGGACUGCCACCUCAAGUUGGUAAGUGUGGAGUAUGGACUGGGAGUUUUCAAGGAAAUGAGGCUGUGAUCUUGUGGGAGGAUGAAGGUGAGGCUUUAAUUUUUAUUGUAUCUCUAUUCUGUCUGGCUAUUUAAAAACAAAACAAUAAUUAGACAAACUCGCUGGACACAAAGCUGUGGCAGACAUUAGCGCAGGCCGCCAACUGUGUCCGCCUGUCCUCCUGGGCCUUGGCCCUGUCCUCUCGUCUGGCCAGUGGUGAGCAGAUGCAAGGUGGCAGCUCUGGGUGGACGAUGCGGAGCCCCUUGGCCUUUAGUGAGGGGACACUGCGUGUUCAUGUGCCUGGGUCCCCGUGACUGCAGGGAGCCCCCCGCUGACCUGCGGUGACACACGGUAUUCAGCGAACUCAGAAGAAUGCAGUGAGGAGAAUGUCCACAGUUCUCCGAGAAGGUUGUUGAAUUGUGUACAUAGUUGUUGUAAGACUGGAUAUUUGACAUACACGUCAGCCAGAGUAAUUGUGUCACAGCAGGUGGAAUGCAGAAGCAGGCGAGAAUCCAGUUGUCAAAUACUAAAGCCACUUGCAAGAAUUGAGAACAGUGCUGUUCUUUUCACUAAGUUACUUUAGCUUUGGG